This 502-nucleotide ribosomal RNA is filed under the name uncultured eukaryote. Its description in RNAcentral is "eukaryotic LSU rRNA". It matches the Rfam family "Eukaryotic large subunit ribosomal RNA", at positions 1003 to 1492 of the family's 3401-position model. The record is from RNAcentral.
AUUUGGUAAAGACAAUGAUUAGAGGUAUUAGGUCGAAAUGGUCUUAACCUAUUCUCAAAACUUUAAAUGGGUAACUAGGGGUUGGUUUCUUAAUUGAACCUUCCCCAUAAAUAUAAAGCUUUUAGUGGACCACUUUUGGUAAGCAGAACUGGUGAUGUGGGAUGAACCAAACGCUUGGUUAAAGAGUCAAAAUGGGAGUUAAUUGAGAUACCAUGAAGGGUGUUGAUUCAUAUCGACAGCAGGACGGUGGCCAUGGAAGUCGGAAUCCGCUAAGGAGUGUGUAACAACCUCACCUGCCGAAUGGAUUAGCCCCGAAAAUUGAUGACGCUCAAACUCUCUUCUUAAACCGGGCCCUUAUCGCACCCUUAUUAGGAUGUAUGCUUUAAGGAGUAGACGAACGUGGAGGUGGCGAAAAAGCUCCAGGGGUGACCCGGGGUGAAGCCGCCUCUAGUGCAGAUCUUGGUGGUAGUAGCAAAUAUUUAGGUGUAGAAGCCUAAGGGCC